CAAGGUUAAAACUCAAAUGAAUUGACGGGGGCCCGCACAAGCGGUGGAGCAUGUGGUUUAAUUCGAUGCAACGCGAAGAACCUUACCUACUCUUGACAUCCAGAGAACUUNCCAGAGAUGNNUUGGUGCCUUCGGGAACUCUGAGACAGGUGCUGCAUGGCUGUCGUCAGCUCGUGUUGUGAAAUGUUGGGUUAAGUCCCGCAACGAGCGCAACCCUUAUCCUUUGUUGCCAGCGGUUCGGCCGGGAACUCAAAGGAGACUGCCAGUGAUAAACUGGAGGAAGGUGGGGAUGACGUCAAGUCAUCAUGGCCCUUACGAGUAGGGCUACACACGUGCUACAAUGGCGCAUACAAAGAGAAGCGACCUCGCGAGAGCAAGCGGACCUCAUAAAGUGCGUCGUAGUCCGGAUUGGAGUCUGCAACUCGACUCCAUGAAGUCGGAAUCG
RNAcentral lists this ribosomal RNA (445 nucleotides) under soybean epiphytic bacterium EP199. Its description in RNAcentral is "bacterial SSU rRNA". It matches the Rfam family "Bacterial small subunit ribosomal RNA", at positions 889 to 1334 of the family's 1533-position model. The record is from RNAcentral.